Molecule: long non-coding RNA, 606 nt
Filed under: Mus pahari (shrew mouse)
Lineage: Eukaryota; Metazoa; Chordata; Mammalia; Rodentia; Muridae
Description: lncRNA (MGP_PahariEiJ_G0003297.1)
Source: RNAcentral
GCAAGUUGGGGGCGCACACCCUGGGGCAGGCUUGACCACGUAUCCUGGUUACUUUGAGAAAGGCCGGAGACAGGGGGACUGGAAGUCUCUCCACAUGGUCUGUACCUGCUCCACAUUAUUCCUGUUUAGCUGCUCAGCUUGCAUUCACUCCUACCUGGUGUUUCCGUCCAAAGGAUGUACCUUUCAAGAAGAAAAUCGAUUCCUGUUACUGGCUACCGAUUCUCCACAUCUGUAUGGAUUCUUAACCGCAUCCCCCACCUGACACUGUGCCAGUAUUCACAGUGCGCAUGUUCAGUAUCCACAGUGCGCAAGUUCGACCAUCUCCAAUCACAGAAGUGGCCCUAGGGUUAAACGCUCCUGGGACAGCCAAAACACACUCCCUUCUCAGUGUCUCACCAAGAUAACAUGAACAUUCAUACUUACUGUUUCUUUCUAAGUAUACUUCCCUUAAAGUGACACCAGGUCACUGUGAAAUGUUCUCAGUCCUCAUGCACGGUUGAGUGGGAAGACAGGAGGGAGACACAACAUUUUUUUGUUCAAAGAUCUAGUUUCUUCCAUCUUUAAUUUUUUGUUCAGAAUAACAUUUUUCUUAGAGAGUCCAGGAGA